Molecule: ribosomal RNA, 784 nt
Filed under: Lactiplantibacillus plantarum
Lineage: Bacteria; Bacillati; Bacillota; Bacilli; Lactobacillales; Lactobacillaceae
Description: bacterial SSU rRNA
Rfam family: Bacterial small subunit ribosomal RNA
Source: RNAcentral
GAGUGAGUGGCGAACUGGUGAGUAACACGUGGGAAACCUGCCCAGAAGCGGGGGAUAACACCUGGAAACAGAUGCUAAUACCGCAUAACAACUUGGACCGCAUGGUCCGAGUUUGAAAGAUGGCUUCGGCUAUCACUUUUGGAUGGUCCCGCGGCGUAUUAGCUAGAUGGUGGGGUAACGGCUCACCAUGGCAAUGAUACGUAGCCGACCUGAGAGGGUAAUCGGCCACAUUGGGACUGAGACACGGCCCAAACUCCUACGGGAGGCAGCAGUAGGGAAUCUUCCACAAUGGACGAAAGUCUGAUGGAGCAACGCCGCGUGAGUGAAGAAGGGUUUCGGCUCGUAAAACUCUGUUGUUAAAGAAGAACAUAUCUGAGAGUAACUGUUCAGGUAUUGACGGUAUUUAACCAGAAAGCCACGGCUAACUACGUGCCAGCAGCCGCGGUAAUACGUAGGUGGCAAGCGUUGUCCGGAUUUAUUGGGCGUAAAGCGAGCGCAGGCGGUUUUUUAAGUCUGAUGUGAAAGCCUUCGGCUCAACCGAAGAAGUGCAUCGGAAACUGGGAAACUUGAGUGCAGAAGAGGACAGUGGAACUCCAUGUGUAGCGGUGAAAUGCGUAGAUAUAUGGAAGAACACCAGUGGCGAAAGCGGCUGUCUGGUCUGUAACUGACGCUGAGGCUCGAAAGUAUGGGUAGCAACAGGAUUAGAUACCCUGGUAGUCCAUACCGUAACGAUGAUGCUAAGUGUUGGAGGGUUUCCGCCCUUCAGUGCUGCAGCUACGCAUUA